This 215-nucleotide long non-coding RNA is filed under the name Elaeis guineensis (African oil palm). Its description in RNAcentral is "long non-coding RNA (EGUI_LNC079785)". The record is from RNAcentral. Lineage: Eukaryota; Viridiplantae; Streptophyta; Magnoliopsida; Arecales; Arecaceae.
UGAUUGAUUGAUUUAGAAUGUGCUUGAGACUAUUAAAGCCCUCAUAAAAAUCAUAUUAAGUCAUAGUGUAGUGACCUAGUAGCUGACCUAUUUUCUUGAAUCUAUUAAUUAAUUGGUGUCCAAGGACUGUUUCAAGUACAGUAGUUAUUUAAUUGGUUCUGUUGCUGGUCUGGCCAAUUUUAUUGAUGUCUAAGAAAAGCAACAGGAGGACCCCC